This is a long non-coding RNA of Peromyscus leucopus (white-footed mouse), 250 nucleotides long. RefSeq lists it as uncharacterized. The transcript is spliced from 2 exons. Lineage: Eukaryota; Metazoa; Chordata; Mammalia; Rodentia; Cricetidae. The record is from RefSeq and is a predicted model, not a curated record.
CUAAGGCCUGCUCCCUGACAGCCACAAGAUCUGCCUACAAGGAUGAUUCUUGCUCUUAUCGUGUUAAACUCAUCUAUGGACAUCCCUGCUCAGACCACCCUGGAUAAAGCAGGUCUCAUCUCUCCUAUCACUAUGAACUACAUACCCUGACCCCAUCUUGGCAUGUCACUAGCUGGUACCUGCAGUCAGAGGAUAGUGACUUGCAUGAACACGGCCUAUCUGCACUGGAAUACAAGCUCCUCAAAGCCAA